Molecule: long non-coding RNA, 4921 nt
Organism: Eriocheir sinensis (Chinese mitten crab)
Lineage: Eukaryota; Metazoa; Arthropoda; Malacostraca; Decapoda; Varunidae
Exons: 3
Source: RefSeq, a predicted model, not a curated record
UUGAGGGUUGUUGUUGUUGUUGAUGGUGGUGGUGGUGAUGGUGGUAUUGUUUGCUUACUUUUUAUCUUGUUUUUGUUUGCUUGCUUUUUUGCCUUUGUCUUUAUUUUCGUCUUUUUUCUCACUGCUAAUACUACUACAGCUACUACUUUUUGUUUGUUUACUUUCUUUGCUUCAUUUGUUUUUGUCAUUCUCUCACCACUAAGACAACUACAAUUAUUACUACUAUCAUUACUACUACUACUACUACUACUACUACUACUACUACUACCACCACCAUCAACAACACCACUGUUAUUCUUCUAUUGACUCUCGGGUUGUUCCUCUCCUUGAUUUAUUAUGUCCCGUACUAAUCAUCAUCCAUCACUCCUUGUGUGUCAUUAAGAACAGUGUUAGGCCAUGGAAUUAUGCCCUCCUUACCUCUCUACCUCCUCUUCUACCCCUUCCUUACCUCCAUCUCUCACUCUUCUAACCUUGACCUCUCCCUCUCUCCUCUUUACUCCUUGUUCUGUUCCCUCAAGCUUGUGUGAGUCGAGAGUUCAGUAGUCUCGAGGUGCUAAUGGUGACUGGCAGGGAGCAUGAUCUCAAAUGUGGGCAGACUUACUAACUUGGCGUCUGAGGGGAGUCGGGCUGAGUUAGGUUAAGUUGCCAGGGAGGGUCGUGCGGUAAGCCUGAGGAAGAGGGAUGCUGUGGUAGAAAUGACCUUGUAAAUGUGGCGUCUGUGGGUCUUCGAUGUUUCUUGGGAUCGUCUAUACAUGAUCCUCUUUGUGGUUGGAAGACGGACAGUCCCUUCUUUUUUCUCCUUUGCUGUUUCUUAUGAUUGUCUAAACAUGACCGUCUUUGUGGUGGGAUAGAAACACUUCCCUCUCUUUGGCUUGGCAGAUGGGAGUGUUGUGGUUGUGUUUCUCACCUAGUUGAGCCGUGUGUGCUGUGUAAUGUACCAUGUAUGUGUAAACUCCUCUUGUGUUAUUGUGUGUGUUCUGGGGAUGUUACGCAUGUGUUGAGUCCUUUGUGUUCCUGUUUAGCGUUCUGCAUGGCUGGUGUUGUGUGUCUGCUUCUCUUUGUGUUACUGUAUAGGAUAAAGUUAGGGGGGUGAUGUGUUGUAUGUGUGUGUGUACUCCCCCCUCUCCCCCUUUAUUUUUGUGUUGCUGUAAGGGUUGGGAGUGUUGUGUAUGUGUGUGUAUGAAGAGUGCGAUCCUCUUUAGUGGUCCUGUGGUGAAUUUUGGUAAGGGUUGUGUUUCGGAAAGUGUUGCGCCUUGUUUGUGUUGUUCUGAGAGGUGUGUUGCGUGUAUAUAUCCUAUUUUGUGUUUGUGUGGGUUCUAAGAAUGGCUUUGCGUUACCCUUUGUGGUGUGUAUUCAAUUUGUUUAUCCUCUUUUUACUUGUUUAUUCCCUUUGUUUUUGUUGAUUAUUAUGUGUUUUUUGUUUUAUCUUUUUGUUUGUUUAUGCCCAUUUUCUUGCUUAUUCUUCUUUGCUUCGUUUUCAUUGUUUAUUGUCCAUGUUUAUUUAUUACCUUUUGUUAACUUUAUUACCUCUAUUUCUUCUCUGUAUUCCCUUUGUUCCUAUAUUUUGUUUAUUAUUUUGUUUACUCCCGUUGUUUAUCUCCGUUGUUUCUCCCUUUGUGUCUGUGUAUAGUCUUCCUUGUGUUGCUAUGUUGUUCGCGGGAUUCCUUUGUGUUCCUGUAUCGCGUUCUGCAGGGCCUCACGUUAAUGAUGCAGUUCACUUAAGGGGAGGGGUCUCGCUUCCUCGACGUUAGCACGGUCCAAUACACUCCCCUUAAUAAAAGACACCCGCGUUUCCUUUCUCCUCCUCUUGAAUCCCUUAGCCCCUUGACUGCGGAUUUCCUACCAGAAGACCUCACCAAGCUUCAGGAAUGGAACAAAAAGUGUCUGCUACAAUUCAGUGAAGAAAAAUUUAAAGUCCUGCAUCUUGGGAGGGAUAUCCAGCAUACCAAUAACACAUGGGAAACACUCACUAUCCACCACAGAGGCAGAGAAAGACCUGGGACUAUAAUAUGUUACCAGGCUACCAGUGAAAGCCAAAUCCGUGCCAAUCGCAGUGGACGGGUUAGUAAAGGGGGACAGACGCCUCAAGGGGACAUGCUCAAGGCAGCGUUACCAGAGAUUAUCGUACUCAGAACAUUGCAUUUAUUAGUUACAGAUCCAAAACUAUCGUACCAACACAACGUCAUUCUAUUAAAGUUUUCGUUGCAACCGUUGACUAAUGAUCUUUCUUUCGCAAUAGUCAUGGGUCAGAACCAGGAAUAUACUGUGUGCUGAGUACGAUAAUUUGGUAACGCUGGCUCAAGGAAGUAGCCCCCCACCCCCACCCACCCCUCUUUAGGCCCUCAUGUGAUCUCCCUCUCGCUAGGAAAGGAGGCGGCCGUGGGGUGAGGUGCAGGCCGGGGUGACAAAUAUUGAUGCAUCGAUGUACGUGUUUCUGAUGAUAAGUCGCCGUCCAGCCUGGCAACCAAUGUGUACCAAUCAGCUGUAUAUGAGUUUGUCGGCCAACUGUGCCAUAACUGUGUACCCUGAAAACAUAAAUGAGGUUAAUGUAGCACCGCAGAUGUGGAAGAUAUGCGGUAAUAGUUUGAGUUGAAGUUACGUUUUUGAAGUGCGGAAAAGGAGUUUGAGAGGCGUAGAGAAGGAAUAAGAGAUAAUGAGGGAUAAAAGUGUGAGUGAAAUAGAAGAAGAGAGGAAGAAAACAAAACAGAAAUUAGGUUAAUAUAGCAACGCAGAUGUUAACGAAAUGUGGUUUUAGGUUUAGAUGAAGUAUUUGAAAUUGGGAAGAGAAGGAUUUUGACAGACAUAAAGGAGAAAUAAAUAUAGUGAGGAAUAGAAGUGCGAGUCGAAUAGAAGAAACAAGAGCAGGAGAGGAAAAGGAGCGAGGAUGGAAUUGACGUAGGAAAAUGAAAAAAGAAGAAAAAGGAAAAAGGGACGUAAAAAAAAAGCAAUUAGAGCAGAAGGGGAGGAAAGGAAGUGAAAGAGGGAAGAAUUGAGAAAGUAAAAGACAAUUAAGAGUAAGGGUUAAGAGCGCAAGUGGAUUAAAAGAAGACAGUAAAGAAAAUGAAGAAGCAGUAAUUAAGGCAGAAGAAGAGGAAACUAAGUGAAGGAAGGAAGGACUUAGAGAGGAAAAGGAGAAACGUGCAAUGAAGGUUAAAACAGGAGUAAUAAUAAAAUGGAAGAAGAGAAUGAAGAAAACGAAGAAGCGGGUAAAGGCAGAGGGAGAGGAAACUAAGUGAAGGAAGAAAGGACUAAGAGGAAAAGGAGAAAAUAUGCAGUGAAGGUUAAAACAGGAGUAAUAAUGAAAUGGAAGAAGAGAAUGAAGAAGACGAAGCAGGUAAAGGCAGAGGGAGAGGAAACUAAGUGAAGGAAGAAAGGACUAAGAGGAAAAGGAGAAAAUAUGCAAUGAAGGUUAAAACAGGAGUAAUAAUGAAAUAGAAGAAGAGAAUGAAGAAGAUGAAGAAGCGGGUAAAGGCAGAGGGAGAUGAAACUAAGUGAAGGAAGGAAGGACUUAGAGAGGAAAAGGAGAAACGUGCAGUGAAGGUUAAAACAGGAGUAAUAAUAAAAUGGAAGAAGAGAAUGAAGAUGAAGAAGCCGGUAUACACAUGUGAAAAUAGGGCAUAGCUGCGUAUGUAAAACAAGAAGAAAACACUAAUCAUCAACAGGCAUCAGACAUCAUAGAGAGGAAAAGUAGAAAUGUGCAAUGAAGGUUAAAACAGGAGUAAUAAUAAAAUAGAAGAAGAGAAUAAAGAAGAAGAAGAAGAAGCCGGCAUACAAGUGAAAAUAGGGCUCAAGUAGAUAUAGAAAAAAAGAAAAAGAACUAACUAUUAAAAAAGCAUCAGACAUCAUAAUAAAACGAUAAAAAGAAACGAACACAACGUAAUCAAGAACACCAUUAUCACCACCAUCAUCAGUAGCCCCAUCACGGUCGUCUCAUUACGCAACCAAAGGCGAUGACGUAAGGAAGACUAAUGACAAGGUUGUGGUAGUAUGACUGUGAGUGAUGCAACAGGAGGAGGAGGAGGAGGACGAGGAGCAGCUGCCUGGAUAGAGAGGGCGAUAAUAGUGUGUGUGUGUGUGUGUGUGUGUGUGUGUGAAUAGAAAAGCUGUAGGGAAAAUUAUUGUAUGGGAGAUUGUAUUGAUGCGGGAGAGGAGAAAGUGGCUUCGUGGCACAAGAGAAUCGGAGAGGAGACUGUGUGAGGAGGAGGAGAAUGAAGAGGGAGGCUGUAAGUAUGAGAGCUCGUAGAGAAGCUGAAGUUAGUAUGGAAGUUUGUAUACAUGAAGAGGAGAAAGGUUGCGUGAGUUUAAGAAACCCACAAAAAACAAAGACAGUGGAUGUAUAGCUGCGUUGAAAGGCUGCGACUAUGAAUGUUAAUGGGAAAGUAUGAUGCAGAUAAAUGAACUAGAUAUAAAUAAGAGGAAGAAAAGGUGCGCUGGAUAUUAGAAGGAUGAGGAAGAGGAGAGGACAGUGAGCUGAUACUGAGUGUUUGAAUGACGUAGAUGCAAAUGGAGGGAGGAUAAGGUGUUAUGUAGAUUAGAAGGAUGGGAGAAGGAGAGGAUAGUGGAGUUAGGUCUACAGCUGUCUUGUAUAGGUCUACCACCCUCUUGCGGACUCCUCAUUACUAUAAAAAUUACUAUGGAGGAGAUAAAGAGGAAAGAAGAGUCAAGAGUGCGUUAGAUGAAGAAGAGAGCAAAGAAAGGAAGACGCACUCAGGGUAGAAGAGGAAAAAAGAAGAAUAGACAAAGAGGAAAGCAGAAACAGGAAGGGAAGAAGAAAGGAAGGGUAGGAGAGGAAAGGAGAGACGUGAAAGACAGUAAGAGAGGAAUGAAGGGUAGAAGGAGAGAAAAAGAAUGAAGGUCAGAAGGGUAGAAGGUGAAGAAAGGAAGCAGUAGUUAGGGUAGAAGAAAGAAAGGAAAAAAGAAA